GGAAAUCUUUGUCGCCAAUUAGAUAAAACUAAAUCGGAUGAAAAAAAGAAAACAUUAAAAAAGUGUUUAAAGCAAUAAUCACUCUUCAUAAAAUUACUAAAAAUGGCAGCAAUAACUUAAUUGCAAUUUACAUGAAAAUUAUCUAAGACAUUAUAUAGGAAAAAAAAUCAUUUUGCAAAUUCUAGCAGCAGCUCAUAAGUUACAAUAGGCAGUUAGGCACCCU
Molecule: unclassified non-coding RNA, 223 nt
Filed under: Hevea brasiliensis (rubber tree)
Lineage: Eukaryota; Viridiplantae; Streptophyta; Magnoliopsida; Malpighiales; Euphorbiaceae
Source: RNAcentral